AACCGCUGGGGGCGCCGAACAGGCUGAGAUGGGCGAUAUCGUCCGGUCCCUUUGAACCUGAAGUGGAUAAUCCCACCGUAGGGAAGCGGA
RNAcentral lists this non-coding RNA (90 nucleotides) under bovine gut metagenome. RNAcentral describes it as "TPP riboswitch (THI element)". It matches the Rfam family "TPP riboswitch aptamer (THI element)", at positions 6 to 94 of the family's 105-position model. Rfam says of the family: Vitamin B(1) in its active form thiamin pyrophosphate (TPP) is an essential coenzyme that is synthesised by coupling of pyrimidine and thiazole moieties in bacteria. The previously detected thiamin-regulatory element, thi box was extended, resulting in a new, highly conserved RNA secondary structure, the THI element, which is widely distributed in eubacteria and also occurs in some archaea. Analysis of operon structures identified a large number of new candidate thiamin-regulated genes, mostly transporters, in various prokaryotic organisms. The record is from RNAcentral.